Long non-coding RNA from Erpetoichthys calabaricus (reedfish), 1036 nucleotides. RefSeq lists it as uncharacterized. The record is from RefSeq and is a predicted model, not a curated record. The transcript is spliced from 3 exons. Lineage: Eukaryota; Metazoa; Chordata; Cladistia; Polypteriformes; Polypteridae.
GUGAUUCAGUCGAUUUAAAAUACUGCUGAGCACACUGGUAGUUUUUUAAACUGGAAGGACUGAUUUUCAUGUUAACAGAAAUUCAACAUCAGCAGUAACACCGAAGUGCACAUUAUGGACGACACCGGGGCCGAAGUCGAUGAAGAUAAUCGUCAGUGAAGUGUUAGAUGAGACGUCGGACAUGAAAUGGAAAGUUAGUGAUGGUGCUGCACCUUCAGGAGCACUUUUGCGAGGGAAAAAGUAGCAUGGCACUUAAAAUCAACUCCGCACAAAAUAUUCUGGAGGAGCAGUGACAACCACGGAAGAGCCAGAGACAGUUGAGAAAGUAAGUGGCCAGGCACUGAACGAUCAUUUAACUUGCCUGAGGAUCAGCUAGAAGGUGACAACUGUAGAGAGGCUGUUCCCUUACUGAAACAUGCAACAGUUCGGGCCCAGGUCAUCUCAAAGAUGAGAUCAGCCUUCAAGUACAGGCCACAAUUAAUCCAUGAUGCAGAGAAGUCGACUAUGGCACUUGAAGUGUGUCCGUGGUUUCUGGAUGUGAAAGGCCUGGUAAGUUUAUCAUUCUAACACAUACCCUUUGAGACAUUUUACAUUUUAAUAUUUGACCCCACUUUUUUGUACUUUACUGUAUAUAUCUUUAUGUUAAGGUUGUCACUAUGUAUAUUUAAUAUUUCUUAGUGAUGCAUGAUUGAACAUAAUCUUGUCAUUGCCUUAAAACUGCAGUCCAAAAUUAUGUCUAGUACUUUUUUUUCCAAUACUGUGAGGUUCUUCGAGACUUUGAAUUGCUUUUUGGGUAUGGAGACUUCAUCCAAGCUUCUGGAGACAUGGGUCACAUUCUUCAAGACCAAACUCAUCAGAAAGCCAAAAACAUUACUCAGACUUAUUGCUGAGCUCACUUAUCCAGUCUGCCGAGAAUAUUCAUGAUCCGAGUGACAUGGCAUCAAUCCUGCUGCUUCGAUAUCUGUUUCCACCUCCACCAAACAGAGGGCUGUAAAGAAAAGUGUCCAUGAAGCUGUUGACCAUGUUGUCAAAUUUC